CUGAGGUGAGGUACAGUAAUAAGGAGAAGCCCUCCCUCCCUCCCUCUGAUUAGAGACCCCAGACCAGGAUGUGAGCUCCAGAGACUUGAAGGAGACUGAGGUGAGGUACAGUAAUAAGGAGUAGCCCUCCCUCCCUCUGAUUAGAGACCCCAGACCAGGAUGUGAGCUCCAGAGACUUGAAGGAGACUGAGGUGAGGUACAGUAAUAAGGAGAUGCCCUCCCUCCCUCUGAUUAGAGACCCCAGACCAGGAUGUGAGCUCCAGAGACUUGAAGGAGACUGAGGUGAGGUACAGUAAUAAGGAGAUGCCCUCCCUCCCUCUGAUUAGAGACCCCAGACCAGGAUGUGAGCUCCAGAGACUUGAAGGAGACUGAGGUGAGGUACAGUAAUAAGGAGAUGCCCUCCCUCCCUCUGAUUAGAGACCCCAGACCAGGAUGUGAGCUCCAGAGACUUGAAGGAGACUGAGGUGAGGUACAGUAAUAAGGAGAUGCCCUCCCUCCCUCCCUCUGAUUAGAGACCCCAGACCAGGAUGUGAGCUCCAGAGACUUGAAGGGAGACUGAG
This 560-nucleotide long non-coding RNA is filed under the name Salmo salar (Atlantic salmon). Its description in RNAcentral is "lncRNA (ENSSSAG00000087855.1)". Lineage: Eukaryota; Metazoa; Chordata; Actinopteri; Salmoniformes; Salmonidae. The record is from RNAcentral.